RNAcentral lists this ribosomal RNA (708 nucleotides) under Kluyveromyces marxianus. Its description in RNAcentral is "eukaryotic LSU rRNA". The stretch from base 234 to 387 matches the Rfam family "5.8S ribosomal RNA". Lineage: Eukaryota; Fungi; Ascomycota; Saccharomycetes; Saccharomycetales; Saccharomycetaceae. The record is from RNAcentral.
CAUUAUAGAUUAUGAUGAUAGAUUACUGGGGGAAUCGUCUGAACAAGGCCUGCGCUUAAUUGCGCGGCCAGUUCUUGAUUCUCUGCUAUCAGUUUUCUAUUUCUCAUCCUAAACACAAUGGAGUUUUUUCUCUAUGAACUACUUCCCUGGAGAGCUCGUCUCUCCAGUGGACAUAAACACAAACAAUAUUUUGUAUUAUGAAAAACUAUUAUACUAUAAAAUUUAAUAUUCAAAACUUUCAACAACGGAUCUCUUGGUUCUCGCAUCGAUGAAGAACGCAGCGAAUUGCGAUAUGUAUUGUGAAUUGCAGAUUUUCGUGAAUCAUCAAAUCUUUGAACGCACAUUGCGCCCUCUGGUAUUCCAGGGGGCAUGCCUGUUUGAGCGUCAUUUCUCUCUCAAACCUUUGGGUUUGGUAGUGAGUGAUACUCGUCUCGGGUUAACUUGAAAGUGGCUAGCCGUUGCCAUCUGCGUGAGCAGGGCUGCGUGUCAAGUCUAUGGACUCGACUCUUGCACAUCUACGUCUUAGGUUUGCGCCAAUUCGUGGUAAGCUUGGGUCAUAGAGACUCAUAGGUGUUAUAAAGACUCGCUGGUGUUUGUCUCCUUGAGGCAUACGGCUUUAACCAAAACUCUCAAAGUUUGACCUCAAAUCAGGUAGGAGUACCCGCUGAACUUAAGCAUACUAACGGGGGGAAAGAAAUCUUUUAAAGU